AGGAAGGGGGCACCCGGCCGCGGAAGUCACGUGAUCUGACGAAGCUCCCUCUGCCCACCCAGCCCGCUGCGCUGGCCUUUCUCUCCUCCGCGUGACACAGCCCUGCCGGAGGCCCGGAAGCCAGACCUGCCACCACUUCUGGACACUGGGCUGGCUUCUGCGAAGCCGGGUCCUGACCUCUCAGCCGGCCUCCAGCCCCACCCAGAGCUUGCUGGAAACGAGCUUCCUGGAAGCCCCAGGCACGGGGCCACACAGCCCGCUGACACCCUGCCAGGCUGCUGCAGGACCCUUGGCUGCCGCCGAAGGGCCCGGGGGAAGUGUCACGGUGUCGGUGCCCUCCCCCCACCCCUUCCUGCAGAGGACAGCAGCUCCCCGUGCCCACAGGCUGUGCAGGAGCUCAGGCCCGCGUUCCUGUGGGCAGGGAGUGCACUGCGUCCCCGAGACCGGCCGCCACCCACCACACAGCGGAGGGGACCCCUGCCGACAUCCUCGCAUCAUCCCGUGACAUCAGAGAAAACUGGCAGAGACAGAAGAGAGAGCUCCGUCCGCCCUCCAACCAGCACCCCUCGUGGGAGCACCCUUCCUCCCAGGGCGCGUCUGUCACAGUGAUGUGGCCGCGCCUGACAAGCGUGACCAUCCUGUCUCCGUGGUGUCCUCGGCUCUGCCCCAGUCCCUCGGGUUUUCCUUGCUACCUUCUCAGCAAAUCUGAGUGACUUUUCACUUAAUAAAAUGUCAUUUAGCAUUUUU
Molecule: long non-coding RNA, 747 nt
Organism: Neofelis nebulosa (Clouded leopard)
Lineage: Eukaryota; Metazoa; Chordata; Mammalia; Carnivora; Felidae
Exons: 2
Source: RefSeq, a predicted model, not a curated record